Molecule: non-coding RNA, 114 nt
Organism: Acanthosepion pharaonis
Lineage: Eukaryota; Metazoa; Mollusca; Cephalopoda; Sepiida; Sepiidae
Source: the annotation of a GenBank genome assembly
UUACGGCCACAGCACGUUGAUACACUGGUUCCUGUACGAUCUCCGAAGUUAAGUAACGUCGAUCCAUGUCAGUACCUAUAUGGAUGUCCACUUGGGAAUACUAUGUGCUGUAAG